UAAAUACCAUGUUUGUUAUCCGGAGAAGAACCCACGAUACGAACUAACUAAAGUCACGUAAACCUACACAUCAAUACAUUUACUCAAGUAAAGAUGACAAGCAUAUGUGAAGAUCCAGGUAAAAGCUCGUGGCCAGAGUUGAUGGGAACAAAAGGAGAAUAUGCAAAAGAAGUGAUCGAAAGAGAGAACCCCAAAAUGAAAGCAGUUAUCAUUUUGGAUGGAACAGCUGUUCCUGAGAUCUUUAUUUGCUCUCGUGUUUAUGUUUGGGUCAACGAUUGCGGAGUCGUUGUUCAAAUUCCCAUAAUCGGUUGAUUAUUAUUAUUAUAAUACGGUAUAUAUAUCAAAUGUUACGUAACGUACUCCAUAAAAAAUAGCGAGUAUAAAUUAUCGUUUGUUUGUAUGACAAUGUAAUAAUAAAGAGAUUGUUAUGGUCUCUAGUUGUGUGCGAUCAUGCUAUUGGUAAAUAAAACUGAAGAUUGUGGUGAUACUUUUA
Camelina sativa (false flax) is the source of this 493-nucleotide non-coding RNA. The record is from RefSeq and is a predicted model, not a curated record. Lineage: Eukaryota; Viridiplantae; Streptophyta; Magnoliopsida; Brassicales; Brassicaceae.